AGAGGCAGAUGGUUGGGAAGCUUGAUCCGCGGACUGUUGCAGUUCUGAUCCGUUGAAGCAAGGGAUAAGGGUGGUAGGUGGGUAGCUGGGAGCGGAAGAACUGAGAUAAGGAUACACAAGUUCACCCACGGAUGCUGAGAUUUGCUGGGGUUUGAAUGAAGAAGGGGAUCAUAACGGGAUGAAGACUUGGUUUGGAAGGAUAGUGCCGUGGAUGCUGAUCUUACGAACAGAG
This 232-nucleotide long non-coding RNA is filed under the name Phoenix dactylifera (date palm). Its description in RNAcentral is "long non-coding RNA (PDAC_LNC011289)". The record is from RNAcentral. Lineage: Eukaryota; Viridiplantae; Streptophyta; Magnoliopsida; Arecales; Arecaceae.